AGCUCAGUGGUAGAGCUAUCGGCUGUUAACCGAUCGGUCGUAGGUUCGAGUCCCGUAGGGG
This 61-nucleotide transfer RNA is filed under the name Staphylococcus pseudintermedius. RNAcentral's name for it is "tRNA-Asn". It matches the Rfam family "tRNA", at positions 9 to 63 of the family's 71-position model. From Rfam's summary of the family: Transfer RNA (tRNA) molecules are approximately 80 nucleotides in length. Their secondary structure includes four short double-helical elements and three loops (D, anti-codon, and T loops). The record is from RNAcentral. Lineage: Bacteria; Bacillati; Bacillota; Bacilli; Caryophanales; Staphylococcaceae.